RNAcentral lists this ribosomal RNA (292 nucleotides) under uncultured bacterium. Its description in RNAcentral is "partial 16S ribosomal RNA". It matches the Rfam family "Bacterial small subunit ribosomal RNA", at positions 505 to 796 of the family's 1533-position model. The record is from RNAcentral.
GUGUCAGCCGCCGCGGUAAUACAGAGGGUGCAAACGUUGCUCGGAAUCAUUGGGCGUAAAGCGCACGUAGGCGGCCUGAUAAGUCGGUAGUGAAAGCCCUCGGCUUAACCGAGGAAGUGCUAUCGAAACUGCCAGGCUUGAAUACCGGAGAGGAUCGCGGAAUUCCCGGUGUAGAGGUGAAAUUCGUAGAUAUCGGGAGGAACACCAGUGGCGAAGGCGGCGAUCUGGACGGAUAUUGACGCUGAGGUGCGAAAGCGUGGGGAGCAAACAGGAUUAGAUACCCUCGUAGUCC